RNAcentral lists this long non-coding RNA (484 nucleotides) under Sus scrofa (pig). RNAcentral describes it as "lncRNA (ENSSSCG00015021736.1)". The record is from RNAcentral. Lineage: Eukaryota; Metazoa; Chordata; Mammalia; Artiodactyla; Suidae.
GCCAGUGGUGGCCAGGAGGGAUGGCCUGAGGUUGCAGGACCCAGCCCUUUGGUCCUCCUGCCCAGACACCCCACUAACAGCUACUGUCUCAGCUUUGGUUGAGUUAAAGUCAAGGAAAUUGGGGGGGGGGUGGGCUGGGGGUAGGGCGAUUGUUCCAUGGAUUGAUUUUUUAGCAAUGUGAUUUUUAAGCAUGUGAUUUUUCUUUUUUAAAUUCUUAAUUUCUUUUACAAAUAGAAAUACGUCCCUUUUCAAUUUUUACUUUUUAUUUCAUGUCACUGUCUUUUUUUUUUUUUUUUUUUAAACUACACGAGCAGUGCAUGCAGCUAUCUGUGUGCGCUGAUAUUGUUUAAAGGUAAUACUUAUUUUCGGAAGGCAAGGCACAUCAUGUGGUAGAAAAUUUCGUGCAAAUUAGGAAACAUGGAAUUUUUUUAAGGUUUUUUUUUUUUGUAUCUUUUUUUUCUUUUAAAGAGGAGGGGGCGGGGGG